UUGGCCAUUAAUUACAAACAUCCAACAUGGGCCAAUCACAGAUGUACCUGUUGCAUUCCACAGCAGCAGAUAACCAUUGGUUACAUUUUGUUCCUGAGGCCUCUUAGCUUCUCAGGAGGAAAAAUCCUAAGGAAAGGAUUUUUCAUAAAAGAUGUCUUUGACACAGCUGGAGGCUUGCAGGGGGAUGUGGUGGUGAGCAGCAGCUCCUGGCUGGCUGUGCAACUUUCCAGCUUGAGCACCGACCCAGAGCUGCUGCAGAAGGGAAGAAAGAACUUUCCAUUCGAGUUUCCAGCUGGAAGAGCCAGGGAGAGAAAUGAUGACAUCUCUGAGGUGCAGAGCAGGGCUGGUUCCACCUCAGUGCUGCUGUGCUGCUCCUCCACCCCACGACUGCAGUGCCCUCCCUGCUCUCACCCCAUAGACACCUUGGGAGCUCCAGAGCCCCCAGCUUGGAUCCCACCCACAGGAGGCCCCUCCAGGCUGUACCUGGGGACAGUUUCCCCCUGCACAGGUACAUACUCACAGCACACUGCAGCACGGGGCUGGACAGCUCUGGGCCAUAAAUCUGCAUGGCCAGAGCUGCUCCACAGCCCCAAGGCCACCCCAAGGUCCUUCCAAGCUGGGAUCUGCCCCUCCCCUCCACUGCAGCAGCUCCUUAAUGGAGCGUGGCAUUGCCAGCCCUGCCCUGGGUGGCACUGCCAGCCCUGCCUUGAGCAGCCUAGCCGGGUGGCACUGCCAGCCUUGCCUUGCCUGGAGCAUCCCCAGCUGGAUGGCACUGCCAGCCCUACCCUGAGCAGCCCCAGGGGGGUGGCACUGCCAGCUGUGCCCUGGGUGGCACUGCUAGCCCUGCCCCAGCUGUGGCACAGCCCCAGGGACAGCCUGGGUGCCCGGGGAGCAGCAGGGCAGCCUCAAGCAGCCCCUGCCCUCUGGGAGCAGCUGCUGCUCCCCAGGUGCCUCCCUGCUCUCCUUCCCAGGAGUUUGCCCCCAUUUCUCAGUGCCCAAGGGAUGCUUUCUCAGGGUGAGCACCAGGGCUGUUCCCAAAGCUCAUCCCAGGGUGGAUGA
Molecule: long non-coding RNA, 1059 nt
Filed under: Zonotrichia albicollis (white-throated sparrow)
Lineage: Eukaryota; Metazoa; Chordata; Aves; Passeriformes; Passerellidae
Description: lncRNA (ENSZALG00000003978.1)
Source: RNAcentral